Molecule: ribosomal RNA, 372 nt
Filed under: uncultured organism
Description: bacterial SSU rRNA
Rfam family: Bacterial small subunit ribosomal RNA
Source: RNAcentral
CAGAGGUCUCAAGCGUUGUUCGGAUUCAUUGGGCGUAAAGGGUGUGUAGGUGGCGCGCUAAGUCGGGUGUGAAAUUUCGGAGCUUAACUCCGAAACUGCAUUCGAUACUGGCGUGCUUGAGGACUGGAGAGGAGACUGGAAUUUACGGUGUAGCAGUGAAAUGCGUAGAUAUCGUAAGGAAGACCAGUGGCGAAGGCGGGUCUCUGGACAGUUCCUGACACUGAGACACGAAGGCCAGGGGAGCAAACGGGAUUAGAUGCCCCGGUAGUCCUGGCAGUAAACGGUGCACGUUUGGUGUGGGAGGAUUCGACCCCUUCUGCGCCGGAGCUAACGCGUUAAACGUGCCGCCUGGGGAGUACGGUCGCAAGAUUA